Molecule: long non-coding RNA, 500 nt
Organism: Piliocolobus tephrosceles (Ugandan red Colobus)
Lineage: Eukaryota; Metazoa; Chordata; Mammalia; Primates; Cercopithecidae
Exons: 3
Source: RefSeq, a predicted model, not a curated record
UUGACCAGCCUGGUCUUGAAUGCUGGCCUCAAGUAAUCCUCCUGCCUCAGCCUCCCAAAUGCUGGGAUUACAGGUGUGAGCCACUGCACCUGGCUGUUGUUGAUGACUUUGGUAGUUUCGAGGAGGACUGGUCACGUAUUUUGUAGCACAUAUCUUAAUUGAGAUAUGUCUGUUUUUCUCACAGGCUGUGGUUAUGGUUUUUGGGAGGAAGACCACAGAGGUGAAAUGUCAUUUUCAUCACAUCAUCUUAAGGGUACAUACGAUCAACAUGACUUCUCACUGAUGGUGUUAACCUUGAUCACCUGGCUAAGGACUCGGAGUUCAUUGUGCUGAACGUUUUUUGUACAAGACUUUGCUCUGGGACAAUCUGAACUCUCUUAAGGGUGACCAGACGGCCCUUGCUGAACUACAUGUGACUUUCUUUUGUGUUAGUGAAAAUGAAGAUUAGGUUGCCACGGCCCAGAGUUACUUGAUAUUCUCAUUGUUGAAUCUAUUUAUAC